This 495-nucleotide ribosomal RNA is filed under the name uncultured bacterium. RNAcentral's name for it is "partial 16S ribosomal RNA". It matches the Rfam family "Bacterial small subunit ribosomal RNA", at positions 28 to 523 of the family's 1533-position model. The record is from RNAcentral.
GACGAACGCUGGCGGCGUGCUUAACACAUGCAAGUGGAGCGACGAACCAGGGCUUGCCCUGGGGCAGAGCCGCGAACGGGUGAGUAACACGUGGGUUACCUGCCUCGAUGACCGGGACAACCCGAGGAAACUCGGGCUAAUACCGGAUGUGCCCGCAAGGGGAAAGGAAGCUUCGGCCUCCGCAUCGAGAUGGGCCCGCGGCCCAUUAGCUUGUUGGUGAGGUAACGGCUCACCAAGGCUUCGAUGGGUAGCUGGUCUGAGAGGACGAUCAGCCACACUGGGACUGAGACACGGCCCAGACUCCUACGGGAGGCAGCAGUGGGGAAUCUUGCGCAAUGCGCGAAAGCGUGACGCAGCAACGCCGCGUGGGGGAAGAAGGCUUUCGGGUUGUAAACCCCUUUCAGUUGGGACGAAGCUCCGUCGGUUAAUAGCCGGUCGGAGUGACGGUACCUUCACAAGAAGCACCGGCUAACUACGUGCCAGCCGCCGCAGUAA